UACGUAGGUGGCGAGCGUUGUCCGGAUUUACUGGGCGUAAAGAGCCCGCAGGCGGCCUGGCAAGUUUCAGGUGAAAUCUCCCGGCUCAACUGGGAGGGUGCUUGGAAAACUGCCAGGCUUGAGGCAGGGAGAGGGAUGCGGAAUUCCAGGUGUAGCGGUGAAAUGCGUAGAUAUCUGGAGGAACACCGGUGGCGAAGGCGACAUCCUGGACCGGCAUUGACGCUGAGGAGCGAAAGCCAGGGGAGCAAACGGG
This 253-nucleotide ribosomal RNA is filed under the name uncultured bacterium. RNAcentral describes it as "partial 16S ribosomal RNA". It matches the Rfam family "Bacterial small subunit ribosomal RNA", at positions 524 to 776 of the family's 1533-position model. The record is from RNAcentral.